CUCGCAAGAGCAAAGCAGGGGACCUUCGGGCCUUGCGCUACCGGAUAUGCCCAGGUGGGAUUAGCUAGUUGGUGAGGUAAGGGCUCACCAAGGCGACGAUCCCUAGCUGGUCUGAGAGGAUGAUCAGCCACACUGGAACUGAGACACGGUCCAGACUCCUACGGGAGGCAGCGAGUGGGGAAUAUUGCGACAAUGGGCGCAAGCCUGAUGCAGCCAUGCCGCGUGUAUGAAGAAGGCCUUCGG
Molecule: ribosomal RNA, 243 nt
Filed under: uncultured Vibrio sp.
Lineage: Bacteria; Pseudomonadati; Pseudomonadota; Gammaproteobacteria; Vibrionales; Vibrionaceae
Description: partial 16S ribosomal RNA
Rfam family: Bacterial small subunit ribosomal RNA
Source: RNAcentral